GCGAGACAGUGGCCCAUCGGCCGAGCGCGACCGAUAAACUGUCGAAGGUCGACCGGGCGCAGCCCCGCGUCGACUGCAAAUGAUCAGCCAGCAGCCGCUGCAACCACAGGGAG
This is a small RNA of Streptomyces malaysiense, 113 nucleotides long. It matches the Rfam family "Streptomyces-metK RNA". The record is from Rfam. Lineage: Bacteria; Bacillati; Actinomycetota; Actinomycetes; Kitasatosporales; Streptomycetaceae.